UUUUUUGUGUCGGUGUACUCAGGUGAAUAUGAUGUUUGUGAUGUUACUCUUGUGUGUAUAUCCACACCGGGCGGGCUUGAAAAAUAUGCCUGGCCGCGGUGGGAAUCGAACCUACGACCUUUGGAAUACUAGCCCAAUGCUCUGCCAACUGAGCUACGCGGUCUGGUCGGUUCAGUAAGUGAUAUUUCGGAACAGAAUCUAGUUCCUUCGAUACCAAUGUAAUCUAGUAAUAUGAUUUUUUCUGUGUUGGUGUAAUGUACUUAGGUGAAUAUAAUGCUUGUGAUGUUACUCUGAGUGUAUAUCCACACCGGGCGAGCUUGAGAAAUAUGUCUGUCCACGGUGGGAAUCGAACCUACGACCUUUGGAAUACUAGCCCAAUGCUCUGCCAACUUCA
This is a non-coding RNA of Paramuricea clavata, 394 nucleotides long. The record is from the annotation of a GenBank genome assembly. NCBI's taxonomy places the organism in Eukaryota, Metazoa, Cnidaria, Anthozoa, Malacalcyonacea, Plexauridae.